AUUCAGCUGAUGAGUCCCAAAUAGGACGAAAAAUCCAUCCCGGAU
Molecule: non-coding RNA, 45 nt
Filed under: Schistosoma bovis
Lineage: Eukaryota; Metazoa; Platyhelminthes; Trematoda; Strigeidida; Schistosomatidae
Also listed under: 1 other name
Source: RNAcentral